GACGAACGCUGGCGGCGUGCUUAACACAUGCAAGUCGAACGGAAAGGCCCUGCUUGCAUGGUACUCUAGUGGCGAACGGGUGAGUAACACGUGGGUGUUCUGCCCUGCUCUUCGGGAUAAGCCUGGGAAACUGUGUCUAAUACCGGAUAUUGGCCAUUUUUCUUCUUAUUGUUGGAAAGUUUUUUCGGUGUAGGAUGAGCUCGCGGCCUAUCAGCUUGUUUGUGGGGUAAUGGCCUACCAAGGCGGCGACGGGUAGCCGGCCUGCGAGGGUGGACGGCCACAAUGGGACUGAGAUACGGCCCAGACUCCUACGGGAGGCAGCAGUGGGGAAUAUUGCAAAAUGGGCGCAAGGCUGAUGCAGCGAAGCCGCGUGGGGGAUGACGGCCUUCGGGUUGUAAACUCCUUUCGCUAGGGACGAAGCUUUUUGUGACGGUACCUAGAGAAGAAGCACCGGCUAACUACGUG
Molecule: ribosomal RNA, 465 nt
Filed under: uncultured bacterium
Lineage: Bacteria
Description: partial 16S ribosomal RNA
Rfam family: Bacterial small subunit ribosomal RNA
Source: RNAcentral